RNAcentral lists this ribosomal RNA (84 nucleotides) under Takhtajaniantha pseudodivaricata. Its description in RNAcentral is "Scorzonera pseudodivaricata partial 5.8S ribosomal RNA". Lineage: Eukaryota; Viridiplantae; Streptophyta; Magnoliopsida; Asterales; Asteraceae. The record is from RNAcentral.
UCGAGUUUUUGAACGCAAGUUGCGCCCAAAGCCAUCCGGCUGAGGGCACGCCUGCCUGGGCGUCACGCAUCGCGUUGCUCCCCC